Molecule: long non-coding RNA, 2053 nt
Organism: Esox lucius (northern pike)
Lineage: Eukaryota; Metazoa; Chordata; Actinopteri; Esociformes; Esocidae
Source: Ensembl
CUGCCCCCGCGACCCGGCCCCGGAUAAGCGGAAGAAGAUGGAUGGAUGGAUGGAUCAGCUAUUCCCUACCAGAGCAUACUGUCGAUUCACACAGUACAUGGCUAAUAAACCAGACAAAUUUUGGAUAAUGUUCUGGAUUGCCACCGAGUUCAAACUUAAUAUAAGUUGAAAGAACUUCCCUAUCUGGGAAAAGACAAUAGCAGGCCGGCUGUGCAGCGUUUAUAAAUUCUACGCUGAAAAAAAGACAGCGUUGGCCUGAGAUGAAAUAUCUGCAGUAACCCUUGUUUCUUCAUGUUCCCACAAGUUUUUUUGCUUACUAUCUUUUGUUUCUUCGUUUAUCCUCAAGUUCGGAUGUUUUGUGCUUCUACGCAUAUCAACAGUUGAACAGGUGAUGACAUUUUCUGUAGUUUUGUUCUCGGAGGAGCAUGACUGUGUGGCAGUAGUUCCAUGCCUGUGGCUCAAAGGAGGACUUUGCCACUGGUCACCAAAGAGCAUCACCAGCAGAAAGUCCUUCAGCCACGACAAGUUUGCCAGAACUUGUUCACCACCUGAAGACACCUGGGAGGCUGUCCCUUAUAAGCUCAAUUUAAAUUACAAUUUGAAACUUGGAUUGAAAAUAUGUUUUGCAGGGUAAAUGCUUACAAAACCUUAACUUUUCUUAGACACGUGAGAGACCAGAGUGAAAAUCGUUCCAGCAUGGGCCCCUACCACACCAAGGACGCACAUCUACACCACAACACCCAACAUGUUGUGUGUUGAUCUCGUAAUUGCUGCAAUGUUUACUUGGUUUCACCAUAUUUACCUGUUCACCAACUUUUUAAUGUUUAUUUUUAGGAUGGAGCAAGCACAGUACUCCAAGGCACCAGAGAGGUACUCCACGCCACCAUGUAGAGGAUUGCUACAUAGAACAUUUGGAGAAGAUCAAGUGGCUGACUGAAGAGAAGGUCGAGCUGAGUGCACAGCUGUCUCUACAAUCAGCUUCUGAUAAACGUCUGACUGAAAAGAAUGUCAAGCCGAGGGCACAGCUGGCUCUACAAUCAGGAGCCAUAAGGAAGAAUCCUUCCAACCGGGAUGCCAUUAACGAUGCUGUCCAGAACCAGGUCCCCAGGAACCAGAAAGGGGCAGCUGACUGUGCAGGUGGGAGAUGUCGCGGCGGUACAAGGGACCAGCCGUGAAUAUGAAUGACAUCUCCAAUAAAACCUAAUAUUGGGGCAUGAGGCAUCCUGCUGGGAUGCAUAAAAGUGGCUAGUCACCGUCGGGCCGCUGGUGAGCCGCUGAUCAGAGUAAAGCUAGUGGGCCGCCAGUAGGCCACUGGCGUGUUGCUUGUUGGGUGCCACCUUGUAUGCAGGCACAGUCUGAAAGAUAUUCUACAAAAGUUCUAAAGGCUGGGGACACUACACUUAUGAUUUGUGCAAAAAGUGCAUUAAUUCAACUAUAUGCAGAAGGGGAUUAAUUCUUGAGUUGUCUAAGGAGCUGUGUGCAAAUCAAAUAAUGAGAAAGGCUGCCUGUCCAGAAGCGCAUAAGCGACUUUUGACGGACACUCCUUCCCCACCAAUGAAAAGGAGACAUUGUCCUGUUGGCAGGACAGGAAACAAAACUAAUGAUAUCUGCUAACCAUGUAAGGGACUUGUUUGUCGUAAAUGCACUCGAACAGCUAUUACAUUUUGCAUUGUAUGUGGGCAUUGACAAUGUAACAAGCAGACCACAUUUGUCUUUUAUUCAUGUCACACACACAUGGGACUUAGGAUAUUGUGGUUAUGCGAAAAGAGAAAUGAAGCCUAAAGUCUAUAAAUGUCUUCUACUCAUUGACACUGGACCGUGGUAUUUGGGGGUUGGGAUUGUAUACCAGUUUUACUUGAAACACACCAAAAGUGUGCAUUGAGUGUGGACCUGUGGCUUGGUAAUUAGUAGGAGAGUGGGGGUCAUGGCCAAUUGCUGGCAGGACAAUCAGAUUGUUUCUAUAAUUGCUCGAUCACUUCUUCACAUUGUCUGCAAAGACUAUUAGUUUGCUGAUAUAAAACUUGAAUCAUGCAAUUUUUCCAUUAUAUCUGAG